This 36-nucleotide small RNA is filed under the name Arabidopsis thaliana (thale cress). RNAcentral describes it as "ATSL267110". Lineage: Eukaryota; Viridiplantae; Streptophyta; Magnoliopsida; Brassicales; Brassicaceae. The record is from RNAcentral.
AUUUAACAAGGAAACACUACUUAGGCUUUUGAGAUC